This 510-nucleotide ribosomal RNA is filed under the name Drosophila mimica. RNAcentral's name for it is "partial 16S ribosomal RNA". It matches the Rfam family "Bacterial large subunit ribosomal RNA", at positions 1828 to 2597 of the family's 2925-position model. The record is from RNAcentral. Lineage: Eukaryota; Metazoa; Arthropoda; Insecta; Diptera; Drosophilidae.
GUCUUUUUGAAUUAAAUUUAAAGUCUAACCUGCCCACUGAAAUUUUUAAAUGGCCGCAGUAUUCUAACUGUGCAAAGGUAGCAUAAUCAUUAGUCUUUUAAUUGAAGGCUGGAAUGAAUGGUUGGACGAAAUAUUAACUGUUUCAUUUAAAUUUCUUUUAGAAUUUUAUUUUUUAGUCAAAAAGCUAAAAUAAAUUUAAAAGACGAGAAGACCCUAUAAAUCUUUAUAUUUUAUUUAUUUUAAUUAUAAAGAUUAUUUUUGUUAUAAUAAAUAAAAAUAUUUUAUUGGGGUGAUAUUAAAAUUUAAAAAACUUUUAAUUUUUAAAACCAUUAAUUUAUGAAUAAUUGAUCCAUUAAUAAUGAUUAAAAAUUUAAGUUACUUUAGGGAUAACAGCGUAAUUUUUUUGGAGAGUUCAUAUCGAUAAAAAAGAUUGCGACCUCGAUGUUGGAUUAAGAUAUAAUUUUGGGUGUAGCCGUUCAAAUUUUAAGUCUGUUCGACUUUUAAAUUCUU